RNAcentral lists this ribosomal RNA (2329 nucleotides) under Salmonella enterica. RNAcentral describes it as "partial 23S ribosomal RNA". It matches the Rfam family "Bacterial large subunit ribosomal RNA", at positions 573 to 2802 of the family's 2925-position model. Lineage: Bacteria; Pseudomonadati; Pseudomonadota; Gammaproteobacteria; Enterobacterales; Enterobacteriaceae. The record is from RNAcentral.
GUGAAUGCUUUGGGGUGGGGUGACUGCGUACCUUUUGUAUAAUGGGUCAGCGACUUAUAUUCUGUAGCAAGGUUAACCGAAUAGGGGAGCCGGAGGGAAACCGAGUCUUAAUUGGGCGUUAAGUUGCAGGGUAUAGACCCGAAACCCGGUGAUCUAGCCAUGGGCAGGUUGAAGGUUGGGUAACACUAACUGGAGGACCGAACCGACUAAUGUUGAAAAAUUAGCGGAUGACCUGUGGCUGGGGGUGAAAGGCCAAUCAAACCGGGAGAUAGCUGGUUCUCCCCGAAAGCUAUUUAGGUAGCGCCUCGUGAAUUCAUCUCCGGGGGUAGAGCACUGUUUCGGCUAGGGGGCCAUCCCGGCUUACCAACCCGAUGCAAACUGCGAAUACCGGAGAAUGUUAUCACGGGAGACACACGGCGGGUGCUAACGUCCGUCGUGAAGAGGGAAACAACCCAGACCGCCAGCUAAGGUCCCAAAGUCAUGGUUAAGUGGGAAACGAUGUGGGAAGGCCCAGACAGCCAGGAUGUUGGCUUAGAAGCAGCCAUCAUUUAAAGAAAGCGUAAUAGCUCACUGGUCGAGUCGGCCUGCGCGGAAGAUGUAACGGGGCUAAACCAUGCACCGAAGCUGCGGCAGCGAACGUAUCACCCAAGACAACUUUACGGAGUUGACGAUUGACGGAGCGAAGCGACGUCAAAGCGUUCAUUAAAGUCGAGUUGGCUUAGGGAUACGUUCGUUGGGUAGGGGAGCGUUCUGUAAGCCUGUGAAGGUGUGUCGUGAGGCAUGCUGGAGGUAUCAGAAGUGCGAAUGCUGACAUAAGUAACGAUAAAGCGGGUGAAAAGCCCGCUCGCCGGAAGACCAAGGGUUCCUGUCCAACGUUAAUCGGGGCAGGGUGAGUCGACCCCUAAGGCGAGGCCGAAAGGCGUAGUCGAUGGGAAACGGGUUAAUAUUCCCGUACUUGGUGUUACUGCGAAGGGGGGACGGAGAAGGCUAUGUUGGCCGGGCGACGGUUGUCCCGGUUUAAGCGUGUAGGUGUGUGUUCCAGGUAAAUCCGGUUCACUUUAACACUGAGGCGUGACGACGAGGCACUACGGUGCUGAAGCAACAAAUGCCCUGCUUCCAGGAAAAGCCUCUAAGCAUCAGGUAACAUCAAAUCGUACCCCAAACCGACACAGGUGGUCAGGUAGAGAAUACCAAGGCGCUUGAGAGAACUCGGGUGAAGGAACUAGGCAAAAUGGUGCCGUAACUUCGGGAGAAGGCACGCUGACACGUAGGUGAAGUGAUUUACUCAUGGAGCUGAAGUCAGUCGAAGAUACCAGCUGGCUGCAACUGUUUAUUAAAAACACAGCACUGUGCAAACACGAAAGUGGACGUAUACGGUGUGACGCCUGCCCGGUGCCGGAAGGUUAAUUGAUGGGGUCAGCGCAAGCGAAGCUCCUGAUCGAAGCCCCGGUAAACGGCGGCCGUAACUAUAACGGUCCUAAGGUAGCGAAAUUCCUUGUCGGGUAAGUUCCGACCUGCACGAAUGGCGUAAUGAUGGCCAGGCUGUCUCCACCCGAGACUCAGUGAAAUUGAACUCGCUGUGAAGAUGCAGUGUACCCGCGGCAAGACGGAAAGACCCCGUGAACCUUUACUAUAGCUUGACACUGAACAUUGAGCCUUGAUGUGUAGGAUAGGUGGGAGGCUUUGAAGUGUGGACGCCAGUCUGCAUGGAGCCGACCUUGAAAUACCACCCUUUAAUGUUUGAUGUUCUAACGUGGACCCGUAAUCCGGGUUGCGGACAGUGUCUGGUGGGUAGUUUGACUGGGGCGGUCUCCUCCUAAAGAGUAACGGAGGAGCACGAAGGUUGGCUAAUCCUGGUCGGACAUCAGGAGGUUAGUGCAAUGGCAUAAGCCAGCUUGACUGCGAGCGUGACGGCGCGAGCAGGUGCGAAAGCAGGUCAUAGUGAUCCGGUGGUUCUGAAUGGAAGGGCCAUCGCUCAACGGAUAAAAGGUACUCCGGGGAUAACAGGCUGAUACCGCCCAAGAGUUCAUAUCGACGGCGGUGUUUGGCACCUCGAUGUCGGCUCAUCACAUCCUGGGGCUGAAGUAGGUCCCAAGGGUAUGGCUGUUCGCCAUUUAAAGUGGUACGCGAGCUGGGUUUAGAACGUCGUGAGACAGUUCGGUCCCUAUCUGCCGUGGGCGCUGGAGAACUGAGGGGGGCUGCUCCUAGUACGAGAGGACCGGAGUGGACGCAUCACUGGUGUUCGGGUUGUCAUGCCAAUGGCACUGCCCGGUAGCUAAAUGCGGAAGAGAUAAGUGCUGAAAGCAUCUAAGCACGAAACUUGCCCCGA